Molecule: long non-coding RNA, 2323 nt
Organism: Carassius gibelio (silver crucian carp)
Lineage: Eukaryota; Metazoa; Chordata; Actinopteri; Cypriniformes; Cyprinidae
Exons: 3
Source: RefSeq, a predicted model, not a curated record
ACUAGUGAUUUAAAAAGUUUUUCUAGUAAUGUAUUUAUAAUACUGUUAUAAUGAGGUAUUCAGGGUUUGGAGUAAUACAAUGUCCCCAUGGUAUAGGUAGACCUGGUGUGCCAUGGAAAAACUGAAGUGUUUCCAGACAGAGAUGGAUCAGACCCAUAUGCUGUACCCAGGAAAAUGGGAAUAUUGCGAACAGUGGAUAGUGGAAACAGUCUUACCACUGAUGUCAUUGUGCAGAGGAUCAUCAAAAACAGGCUGCUGUUUGAGGCCAGAAACCAGAAAAAAGAGGCCAAAGAGAUGGCGGUAAUCCAGGCCAUGAAGCGACGAGAAGAAGACAAGGCUAAAGAGAGAGCGCAGGCUGUGCUGUAGGGAAGAAAAAAAGUUCAUCAGAGACUAACAAAACCCAGUACAUGCAGUUGACUUUUUUCUAAUGUGUCCAGAUUUUGGACUUACAUACCGUCAGAAUACCAGCAGCUGAGAGCUCCUUUUAUUGACGAAUUAGCAUGUGUUGUCUUGGGAGCAUCUGCUUUUGUGAACCACUCUCGCACUCUCCACCUGAAGGACCAAUUCAACAUUUCUUGAAGGCAGUGGGCCAUUUCCAUCAGAUCUGUUUACUAAGUAAAGAAGUAGGCUGGAACUUGUCCUGCACUUUGCUGUGUGCAGGAUGUUGCCACUCUGGUGACCAACAUGACCUACGUGGCCUUUACCUCCACAUGUAACUCCAGAGUUAUUCUAACCUUUGCUUGGAAAUCAACACUCCUGAAGAUCUGAAUUCAUCAGAAGAGCACUACAGUCUGCUGUCCUAAAACACUGUAUUAAUUAUAAAGAUUUAAUAUUUAUCUGUCAUUAUUAAUGGCUAAUCCUCAUAUGAAGUAUUUUUCAUUGUAAUAUACAACAAAGUGAAUCGUUCUAUUAAAAAUAUAUGAAAAUAAUAGUUAAGAUAUGGUGUUCAUCAAACUUGCAUUUUAAUAUGUUUUUUUUUAUGUUUAUGUUUUUGUUUAUUAUAGUUUUUGAACUUAACCAUUAUAACUAGUCAAAAGGAUAUACUAUAUUUCAGGAAGUUUUUGUUAAAAGUUCCCAAGGGUAUAGUUCACAAAAAAAUAAAUAAAUAAAUAUUCACUCAUGGUAUUCCACUCAAAAGUACCAUAAAAGUUGAUAUGUCUUGUACUUUAUUUUCCCAAACUUCUUCUGUUAAACAAGAAUUUUGUGUGAGAAAACAGCAUGAAAUGUUAGUCUUAUUUACUGCUAACUUUUACUGCCACAGUUCUCAAAAUGUAUUGUGGAAAAAUUAAUUUAAACUUGCUAACCUGUUGUCAGGAUCAGCAGGUGAAAAUGUCACGUUCAUUAUUCACUUUUGUUUUGGGGAAAAUAUCACUUCACCCUGUCUGCCUAACAUAUCCUGUAAUUCACAGAAGAAUUUGAAUAUUGAUUUAAAAGUACAUGCUAAUUUUGUUUUGUGGUGAAAUACUUCCUUUAGGGUUUAAAGAGGUUUAAAGUUUCUGUUUUAAAUGUAUUAAAAAUUAAAUUAUACUACAUCUAGUUCUUAGAGUGAACAUGCUGAUCAAGAGUUAGUUCCUUGUUUUCUAUUUUAUUUAGAAUGAUUUUGGAAGGCAAUUUGAGAUCAGCAUGUUAAGCUGAGCCACGUUAUACACGAAGACAGACAUACACUCCUUUACAAGUCUGCAUACAGUUUUGAGUUUGUUUCUUAUGAAGGUGUGUACACCAUACCCAAAAUUACUUGUGCAGAAUGAGUAACCAAUUAUAGCCACAAUAGGUCUUCCUAUCAGUGGAAAUAUGUGUAAAAUUCAUAGAAACCACAAUGGACUGAAACCAACUCAACCUGUUUUGAUGUGCUGUGAUAUAUAAAGUGUAUAAACCUCAAUCAUGGAACCAACUACUGUCUAAAUAUAAUGGUUUCAGGGAUUAUAUUAUUUUAAGUCAACACUGAACUGACUUACAUUGUUUUGUUUUCAUGUACAAUUUUUAAUUAUAUUAAAAUAUAAAAGUUUUUUUUUUUUUUUUUUUUUAAAUAAUAACCCACUGUUUUUGUUAACAUAUUAGUCAACUUGAAAUAUACUGGAACUUAAUUUUUAAUUGAACAAUUAUUAAAGUUACUUUCUGAUUUUGGGAAAUCAAAUGAAAAGUUUAUUUUAUUUAUUUGUUUAUUUUUAUUUCUGAUAACAAAACAGGAAUUGAUAACACGGGAUCAUAAUAAUUGAUAUCAGCUAAUCUCCUUGUUUAGUUUUAUGGGAUUUAAAAAAAUGCAUAUAAAUAAAUAUCCAAAUAUGUAAUAGAUCACAUCUGCCUAAAUAAAUAUUUAACUGUU